UUGACCUUCAAAAUGCGUAUAGCCAUGUACAAAAAUUUUAUACUCAUAUAUACACUUUUUUGGUUAAACUUUUGACUCAAAACGUGUCCUAUUUGGACUUAAAACUUACGCGUGAGUAGGAUGAUGGAAUCGUGAGCAUAAGAUAAUGAUCAUUAAUUAGUUCGAGUUAGUAACAUAAUGUUUAAGUAUAUUUUUAUUAAGUCGAUCUUAAUAAUUGAUCUAAGCGGAAGUUCCUAGUAUAAGACAAACAUUUUGUGGGUCAAUUUUAUAGUGUGUUAGGAUUGUGGGGACCCUAAUUAAUGAUUAAGUUACUAGAAUAUUUUAGCUAUUGGACUAAGGCUUAGUUUGGUAUUGAGACAUCUCUAACGUUAUUAGAUAAAAUGGAGUUGAGGAAAAAGCAUAUAGGAAUAAGCUUCUGUGUUUUCCGGUGAGACCGCAGAAAAUAUAUCAUAACCGACUCAUCGCGAUAUACGAAACGCAAUAUUACGUACGGAAACAAAGAGGGCAUUUUUCCAACGUACUUUCUCACCGCACGUAACGCAAUCUCCCUGCAAUCCCAAACGAAGUUAAAUUUUGUUAGUAAAAUAUUAGAAAUACUAUUUUAUUCUUUCAAACAUAUCCUUCUACCAUCGCCAAUUUUUUUUUAGGGAUAAUUGCCUAUAUACCUCUCAAAAUUUCGAAAAUAUCUAAUUUAUCCCUACUUUUUUUUUUCUUUCUAAUAUACCCCUUAUAUGUUCCUCCGUUAUUUCAAUACCCCUACAAUUACCACCCGUUAAGUUAACUUGGGUUAAACAUAAGUUAAAUAUCUACCAUAGUUAAAAAAAAUUAAAAUUUUAAUUUUGCCCUUAACUUAAGGGCAAAUAAAAAAUGUUUGUAACGGUAGAGGGGUAUAUUUGAAAAGACCAAAAGUCAAAAUAUUUUUUGUACUCCUAACUUAAGGGCAAAUAAGAAAAGUCAGUGAUAGUGGAAUGGUACAUUUGAAAGAGCAAAAUAGUAAUUUUAUACAGAUAACAGAGUUCAUUGACAGAUUUUAACUCUAGGGGUAUAUUUGAAAUAGGUUGAAACGUAAAAAAUGUAUUUUCAAUAUUAGCUUUCUAAGAGGGGUAAAUUAGAAAGUCGGAAACUUUUAAGGGGUAUAUAAGCAAUUGCCACUUUUUUUUUAUUUGUUCUUAAAUUAAGGCAAAAGAAGCAUUUUGACAUUUUGUCAUUUCAAAUAUACCCUUCUACCAUUACCAACUAUUUUUAUUUGUUCUUAAGUUAGCGGCAAAAGAAGCAUCUUGACUUUUUGCCAUUUUAAAUAUACCCUUCCACCGUCACCGAUUUUACUUAUUUGUCUUUAAGUUAGGGACAAAAGAGGUAUUUUAACUAUUUUUUUAAAACUCUGGUAGAAAUAUAAUCCGAAUUUAUCUGAGAUUACAAUGAUUAACAUCGGAGUUAUUUUGAAUAAGGGAGAAAUAUACAAUGGGUAUAUUUGAAAAAAAAAAAAGAAAAGGCAAUUAAGGCUAUAUAAUAUAUUUUAGAAGUUUUGAGGGGUACAUAGGUAAUUAUCUCUUUAAGAUAUGUGUGUAAGUUCUAGAAUUCUAGAAAGCUUUGUGGGUUUCUUUCAAUAAUUAAUUGUAGAGAAACUUGAUUAACAAGAAAGGAUAUAUAUACAUUUAUCUCAUGAUGGUUAUUUGAAAUCAAUGAAUGAAAUAAAGUAGAAGAAUAGUUUUCAAAAUAUAAUUGGUAACACUCUUGUCAAAUUUAGGUCAAAAUACACCUACCAACAGAAUUAAAUUCGAUUACCUAGCUAGCUAUUAUCCUAUAAUCUCCACAAUAUAUCAAAUCAAUUGGCAUCUAAAAUUGACUUUUCUGUGUAACUGUGGCUUUCAUUCUAGUUAGUGGUUGAAAAAUGUAAAGAGAACAAAUUAGUUUGAACUCAACCUAGGAGACAUGAUUUGCAAAUAGGAGGUACAUAUUACAAGAACAAAUUUCUGAACCAUGCAUGUUGGUCAACUUUACUGUAGUUGUACAGGAAAUAAAAUGUUGGCCCACUAAUCCUCUUUAAAUUGCCAUUUUGAUGGGUCUUUUGGUUACUUUCUCUAUGAACUAUUGAACAUGACAACAAACUUCAGUUUCGGUGUGCAACUAGAACAUUAAUGGCGGCUCGAUCGGUACUUAUUUUAUCGUAUAGAUUGCAAUCAGUGUCCAUUGUGCAUGCUGAGUUUAAAAUUCAAUUGAGUUGUAAGACCCCAAAUAGUCCUAUAUAUAAGAUAUAAUAGGGUUAAACUCUUAAUCCAGUUUAAGCAUUUUUGGUGGUGACUAGACCCAAGAGAUUAAGAGAGUUAAGCGUGUUAGGACGGGAGUAGUCAUAGGAUGGGUGACUCCCUGAGAAGUUGGGGCGUCACAUGAGUUUGCCUAGGAGAAGAAAAUCGAUAAAUAAUGAUCAAUAUGCAAUAAUCCGCUCUUACAUUACUGCACCGAUCAAACUCAAUAAUACAACAUUAAUAGUUAUUUUUGGUACUUAUACUGAAAUGACCAGACAUGUUGUAUAGCACGAAUCAAACGGGCUCUUAAGACGAGAUGCUGAUAGUCAAAUAGCAAGGAUCACAUGGCAUUAGUUAAUUAUAGAAUAUUCAAACUCUACAUAAUUCUUCAUAGCUCUUCCUCGACCUAUAAAUUCACAAACACUGUUGAGAAAAGCACAUAUUUAUAUAUGUGCACAUUUUUGCUUGUGGGUGUCUUUGUUUGUAACUACAAAAAGCAAAACGUGACCCUCUUGGUCUCAAACUCUAUAGCCUCCUCCUAUUUGCAUACAUUAUAAGCCUAUUCAUACUGCUUUUAGAAAAAGAAAAGAAAAAUGUUUCUUAUUCUAUCUUUGCUGCUACACUAUUAAGCAAGAGCUAUAUCAUUAGGCAAACUAGUUUAAUGAUUUGUGUGUUCACUAAGUGGUGACCCUUUUCUCACCAUUAAUUCUCCUCUUCAUGUAGUUAAAUAAUAAUAAUAAUAAUAAUAAUAAAAGUAAAGAAUUAAGAAGAACAUAUGUACAUGUCCUUCUCUCCCUGCUACAGCUACCACCCUCUAAUCUACAACCCUAUGCUACUAAAUCAAUCUAAUUAGUUUCCAAUUCAAUCAUCACAAGAUGUCCUAAUCAAAUCUCGAGCGAUUAGAUACGAAUCCGAUAUGUGUGUCCAAUCGAUCUCUUAGCUAGGACCAAAAUGCUAGUCCUUGUGUGGUGUUCAAAGUCCAAGAGGUAGAAGGAAAAGGAGAAGAUCAUCGCUAUCGAUCGCCACUACCGCAUGCAGUAGGCUUUAUGUUCAACUCCCAACUCCCUCUACGAGUAUUCGCACAAGCGUCUGCGUGAUUCAAGUGUGAUGGGGGUGACGAAGUCGACCAUCCUAGUGGCAUGUACAUCAGUAGUGGAGGCGAAAAGGCGAAGAUGGAGAUGUGUUGAGGAUGGAAUUCAAGAAAGCAAGCUUAGUAGAAAAUAAGGAAAGAACCUUGGAAGGCUUUUUUUUUUUUUUGAGUUCUUGGUUUGUCUAGGUACAUGCAUGCAUACAUUGCCACGUGUGAUGAUUUAGGCACACAUUUUUUUUAAGAUAAAGCUUCUCAAGGGAAUCUUCUGUUCAUGUGCGCAAAGCAUUGCACUGUUGAUUCCGUAGGAAAUAACAAAUAGUCAUGGUAUGUUAUGCCAUGGUACCUACCAUAUUCCAUUUUUCUCUUCUAAGGUCAAAAAUUUCCAGUUAUUUGGUGUCCUUAGCAAGGCCAUUUGUCAAACAAUGAAGUUGUUCCCAUCUUAUACUUUGAUCCAUCAAUCAAAUUAAGCUCGGUGUAAUCAUGUCAUAAGCAUGGAUGGCUCCUAACACAUUCCAAAAGGCUCACAAGUAAUAUUGUGUGUGUGUGUGUGCGCGUAUUUCUUUUUAAAAAAAGAUAACUUGUUAUCUGUUUCAUUCAUUAACAAGAGAAAUUUAACAACAAUACUACAGUGAAAGGGGCCUCUAGAAAGCAAACUAAAAAAAAAAUAAAAAUAGCAAAGGAGAAAAAACAGAGACAACAAAAAUAUUGCUCGAUCCACAGAAUCAAUAUAAAAGAUACUCAGAAAACAAAAUGAGAAAGUCAAGAGCUCCAAAGUUAGCUGCAGUGCUCGUCCCACAGAUCCAAAAGCCCACGGAUACAGUUAAGAACGUUGAUUGAUCAGAUUCGAGCUAAGAUCUCGGAAAAUAAUGCUGUUCCUUUCAAGCCAAGUUGCCCAAUAGAAGGCUGCCAGGAUGGUCAGCCCCUGCUUCCUUGUGCAUUUCUUGUUACUUUGGGGUCAAAAAGCUUGCAGAGGAAUUUACAACAGUGACCCUACUGUAGCUUAUCCACAGAGAUAAAAGAAUAUGGAGUCACCUUUUCUAAAUUUUUUUGGGACCCUUUAUAUUGCUGCACCACUUUGCUAAGACAAGGAGAUUUCAUAUGUGAAACAGAUAUUUUAAUUUCUUACUAUUCCUUUCACACGCCGACACGUGUCGACAAUUUGUGUAGUCAACUAAGCAGAGCUUAAUUAUUGGAACAGGUUUGAGUUCUCCAAUUAAUAUGCUCUAUGAACACAUGAUGAGAUCCUAUAGGAGGAUAAGAUGCCAAGAUAUGAUCUAGGUAGGUACAAAGCUUCUGUAGUGCUUGUUGAAUGAAUUGUGAGAUGGUGCCAAGUGCACGGUUGAGAUGAGAGACCAUUUUUUGAUGUAGAGAAGCAAACAAUCAAUGAGAGACAGCUAAAAGGAGUUAGCUCUUUGCAGGUGUUAAGCAUAGAUUUGGAGUGUUUGACAUGGUUAGGAAAAGGAAGGAGAGUAGUAGAGAGUUCACCAAUUAAGAUGGGUUCAAUUAUUAGCUGUAACUCCACUUUUAUUGGUUGUAAUAUGUGAUUAUAAUUCACUGCUAAUUAUACUUUGAUAAAAUUUGCAUCAAGAUAUUGGCAAAUGAAUAUUUAUUAGUCCCUUGCUUCAACAGGGCUUUGUGAAACUAUUUGCUCUACAACAUUUAAGCUACUAGGGACCACCGUCGUGUUGUGUAUAUAUAUAUAUAGAGAGAGAGAGCUGGAAUACUAUCGGUAGCAAAUGAACUCUAUUGUCAUCCAUUUAUUUUCGAUGAUGGAGCUUCCAAAUCGACUAUCGGCACCGUUGAAUCUAUAGCACUUGAAGUAUUUAGAAACCAAAUUUUAUGUUUUUCCGAUAGUAUUCUCUUGUCCAUCAAAUGGAUACAAAAAUAAAUAGCUCAGAAUAAAUAUCCUUUAAAAAGUGAUGAUAGAAAUCCUGUAAUCAAGAUCGAAAGUAUAGAUCUUAUUCUAAAUAGGUUAAAAAAUUUUCUAACCAAAAUUAAAUUGAUUCGGAUAUUUUUACACCGUUAAACGUGAAAACGCCUUGUAUCGACCAUUAAAAUUACAAAUUUUGGUAUAAAUAUAUAUGAGUGAGGCUUUGUAGGCUUCUGGAAGCACGGAACCCUCUGUGCUUUCAAGUCGUUUUCAAUAUUAGGAUUUUCGAAUCGACGAUCGGUUCUGUUAGACUUGAUAUGGAGAAUUUGAAGUACCUAGAAAAUAAAUUUGUGAUUUUUUGAUAUCAUUCGGCUAGUGAUCGAAGGGGCUCAAAAUCAAUAAUUUUAAUGGCUGUCGUGAACCGUUUGCAAGUUUAACGGUAUAAAAAUAUUCAAAUCACGUGAAAUUUUGAUAGAAAAUUUUUUAUACUAUAUAAAAUAAAAUCAAUAUAUUUAAUCUAAUCAAAUUUUGUGAGAUUUUUAUUUUCAGCUAUUGAUUUUAAGCCUCUUCAAUUACUAGGCAAAUGAUAUUAUAAAAGCACAAAUUUAUUUUCUAAAUACUCUAAAUCAAGUCUAACGAAGGCGAUCGUCGAUUUCAAAACACGGAGGGCUCUAUACCUUCAGAAGCAUACCGGCCUCAUUAUAUAUAUAUAUACAUAUAUAUAUAUAUAUAUAUAUAUAUAUGUAUUGUGUUUGGCACUUAUUGUCUAUGUGCUCAUUUUUUAAUAGAUUUAAAAUGUGGACUGUAAAUUACGAUGAAUAUUUUUUAUUUUGAAUUGAAAAGUGAUAUUUGGAUUGUUUUACAUGGUACCAAGCUUUUUGAUCAUUUAUUUGCCUUUACUAAAUAAUAUAUAAACAAAGAAAACCCAGCCCCUUGGUUCAAAUUUAGGUCCUAAAUACGUAGACCACUUCCUAAUAGACCAAUAUUAUUAGGCAUCAGAACCUGACUCUGUAAGUUGCCCUUUCAUGGGCAAUUUGAAGUUCAAAUUCGAAAACUGUUUGUAAGAGACAUUACUCUGUUGUGUCAUCAUGCCCUUGCGACUAUGGGCACUGUUAUCUUGUGACAUCAUUAAAUACACAUGAAGUAUACAAGUAUAUACUAAAUUGUAGAUCUGAUCAUGGUAACAUUCAUUGUUGCCAAUCACAUUCAUAUCAAAGAACUGAUUAAAGCAGGAGAGAUUCAUAGAUCGCGGCAGGAUCCACAUAUUUUAACCAAUCACAACAUCCACAUAUAUUAUUUCUCACGGAACUAUGUUUUACAUCUAAUCAGCUGACCAAGUAGUGAACUAGUUGGGUGGAUAAAUUUGUUCUCAUCACUGUUUCUGGAACUGUAAAUGUCAUGACAACUAAAAAGUUCUGUUUCAGAAAAGUAAAAAGACUGAAAAGAAAAAUAACAGACUGAUCAGUAGAAAGAUCAAUAACAUUAAAGCAGCUAAAAUGAGUCCGCAACAAACCGCCACUCCGCAUCGGCACUUAUAUAUAACUGUUUUACACCAAAAUGGAUUGCUACCGUAUGCUGUGCGUAGUCUCGGGCUAUGCAAUUCCCCUGAUUCAGUUUCUAGGCUCCUGCUAUUAUUCCUGGUGACUGCAGCUUGUUCUAUAGAAUUAGAAACAGUAUAUGCCUCUCAGAAGUGAAAUCUUAAAGCAGCAAAACAUAACGCGCCACAACUGACAACUUAACUGCAUCCACAAUGUACUCGUCCACAACAGCAUCGCGGUUGUAAAAGCUGGAAUAGCUUUACAUUGGGCAGGGUAACUUUAAGUAUGUACUGUGUCACUUUUGCCUAUAUCCCUUCUGAAAUAGACACCAAGAAGCUUCGAAUUCUAUGGCCAAACGGUAAGCAGCUAGCCAGCUACUGACUUGUCAUUAACUGCUUUGAGAAGAAGCAAAUAUUGGCCCGCGGGUAUACAACUGUGACAAAGCCUGUGUAUACACUGUUAUGACCGAACUUCAUAUUGUCCUGCUUGAGUGAUGGCACGGAAACCUUUAUAAGGAGAGCUUGGCGUGUUUUUGACAUCCAAUUUAUCUAUUUGCAACCCCGAAAAAGCGACCCCUGUGAUCUUGAAUUUAACUUGGAAGGUGGGGAAUACAUGCAGACGAUCCAUGCCAUCAAGAACUAAGUUACCUGUGAGUGAUGGGGAUUUGUCUUUCGGGAUUCUUCCGAUAGACCAAGAACAAGUCUGCAAAAUGAUCAACAAAUUAAAAAAAUAAUAAUAGAAAAAAAAAAACUUAGAUCUCACAGAAAAGGCAAAAAUUAUUCCCUUUGCAGCCGUAGAGUUGAAAUUUAUUCUUUUUAAAGGACAACUUGUGCAAACGCUAGCAGUAAAGGAAGGCCGGUUAAUAAAAAAAGUCACUAACCUUAUCAGCGAGAAUGUUCACAGUGCCAUAGUUUGAGGUUAAAUCAGCUGACGCAAUACAUAGCGGCAGCUGAAACUUUACUGUUACAGAAUCAAUUGUUUUUCCAGGGUCAUUUCGGAUUCCAACCAAGACAUCGAUGCGACAAUUCCCAGAAUCUGAACUCAGUUGCGGCUUCAGGUAAACCGGUAUAUUCUUCAGAUUCUUAACCCUAAUCAAAAUGUAUGCAUCAUUGGUAACAAAAAAAAACAGAAGAACAUAAAAAUAGAAGCACCCAAAAGAUAACACCACACAGACCUGUAACUCAUGAGCUUAAACUGACCAUCCGGAGGCACAAAUGACAGGACCUGAUGCGAUUCCCAAGGCCGGAAUCGAACACACGGAUGAAACCUAACAUCAUUCAGGAUUGUAGGGUUUGCAAAUGAAAGGGUCAAAUCAGGAAGCCCAGGGAGAUGAGAGUUGACUUGAAUCUCGCCAUACACUUCACAUUUUACUAACAUCCCUUCUCUGAAGAUGACAUGGAGCAAAUGUGCAAUUAGAAUAGGACUUCAGAAACCAGUAUGGUCUAUAAUACAGCAUGAAGUACAAAAUUUCACCCUUUUUUAGAAAGAGAAAACCUGAGUGCAACUUUGAAAACCAUAGAAGGUUACUUAAUAUAUAUUAUGGCCAUAAUUGACACAGUAGAUAAGUCUACAUCACAUUUAGAAGUUGGGUCUCAACAACUUAGAUUAUUAAAAAGAUCAACAGCAUAAUAUACAUAAGCAUGAAACUAGUGGAGACAAGCCAACAACAAUCAUUUUUAAAAUAGAAAAGCAACAACCCUAGAUCUAGGGAACGAGUGGAGAAAAUGAGUCAAUAAAGGAACACAAGAAAAAAAGGAAGUUUCAGAAUGACCUGUUCACCAGUGCAUCCAGUUCCUCAACUAGGUUGACGUAGACCUCAUUGCUUGCAUUCUUCAAGCCCGUUUUCCUCCAAGGAACGCAGGACGCUGUUGCCUCUGGAAGUUUGUUGCUCACGUUAGAACUCUUACCGGUGACAACAUUUAACAUUUUGCUAACAAUAUCUGGUGGUGCUAUCAUCUCUCUCAAGAUGUUCGGUUCUGUUGUAAGGGGAAAGCCGUUGUCCAUCAUUUCAUCCAAUAUCUGCAGUACACAAUUUAUCAGUACUGAAAGUCAUAAAAAGCUGUAAAAGUGCCAAACUAAAUCAAUUAAAAAAAAGAGGCAAUUGCUGAUAAUUAAUACUCAAUUCCUUGAAUCUUGCAGAAUACAUCAUCUUCUUUUAGAUACUUCAAAAAUCACUUCUCUAAUUAUUUGUGACACAUUUAAUGCAAUUUGUCAAAACUAAAGUAAAAUCUGCUCCAAAUACGAAAAGGUGCAUCUACAAAAGAUCUUAGAGAACAAAUAACCCAAGAAAAAUGACUGCCAACUACAGUAAACCACAGAAGAAGUUACAGAAUCUACCUCAUAUACGAUGACAAAAUUAUCCUUUAUCAAGUCCUCAUUCAGGCUUCCGAGAUAAUCUGUCAGCACAUCUGCUACUCUGGAAAGGAACUGCAAGCAAAUGACAAAACAUAAAAGAAUUGAUGUUCCGCACGUGGUUGGAUUUGAAAAGCCCAUACUACACUACAUAAGCUAAUGCCUUUAAAAACAGUAAUUAUCAGCCUAGAUUGCAUGUUAGAAGCAGAACAUAAAUUUCGCAGCAGAGAAGUAUUUCUAGCGGAGAUGUCAUGCUCUCAAUGUCAACUUAGAUACACUUAUAUGACAUUACUAUGGAAAUACUGAAGCGACAAAUGCUAGGUAAAAUUGCUAUUAAGAUGAAGAGUUAACUUCAGUUACUCCCUCUGUGGUUUAGUGAAUUUGCACUUUAUCAUCCCGCAAUUUAAAAAAUUGCACUUUGCUAUCCUGUGAUUUAUUUUCGUUUCACCAUAAGGACUUGUCACUAUAGGUGGUAAAAUAUAGUAUUUCCCGUCCGAUGACUCGAACUUCACUACGUUGUGCUUUGUAAAAUAUUCACCGCGCACCAAAUCACAUUGAUAUUGAGUUUUAAAAAAACAUGGCCUAAUUUCCAGCAACAAAAAUUUUCAUGCUGCAUAUAAAAAUCCUCACAUUGCUAAAAUUUAAUCAAAUCGACAUUUUUUCAACGAGCGCAACUAAAAUCUCACCUCAAUCGCCAUAAGAGGAGGCAUUUCGACCUGCGUGCACGCAAGGAACGUGAUCCCCUCGCGAUAGACCUGGAAAAUAUAGUGUGUGGGAGACGCAAUCACCUGCAAAAUCUACGAAAAAAUCCCCAAAGAAUGUUGAAUCAUCCACAGUUCGCCCCAAAAUCAUAUACAUAUUUAGCAUUAAAUUACUACUUACUAGCAACGAAAUCGUUUCAAUUGGGGUUUACCUUUGAUGAAUCGCCACCUUGUGAGAGCACGUAAUCCCAGAACCAAGCGCAGAUGGAUCGAUCCACCCUGUGCGCCGUCAUCUGCUUCUCCAGCAUCACCUCCCUGCGUCCCCAGUCGCAUCGAAGUAUGGCGAAUUUUAACACAUUUUGAUCUUUAAAUUUGUGCUCAUUUUUAGGGUUUUUUCCCUUCCCCGUAAAAGAUCUAUGGAAAUGGAGAGGAACGUACCCGGAAUCGGAGAGGAGAAAGAUACACUGAAGCAUCUUCAAGCGAUCGAGCGAUCAAGCGAUCAAGCGAUCAAGAAGAGAGAGAAAACGAGAGAGGAUUCGAAGAGAGUGGGGAGGAGAGCUUUUUGAUCGCGGGAGUAAACUAUCCGGUCUAAGAAUUGGGGGCCGGGGUUGAACCGGUCCGGGUUCGAAUCCGAUUACGGAAAGCCCAGGCUCGACCCAAAAGAAAUGACGGGUUUUUAGCCGGGUUCGGGCCGGGUUUGACUUAACCCGAAGUAGGCAUCUUCUAGCACGCAUACCUUCCCAUUCAACUCUUUACACCUUUAAACGGGUUAGUGGGUCACCGGAUCCCCCGGUAACCCUAAUUAAUUAACCAGUAGCGAUUUUUGAACCAACUACGAAUCUCAUCGUCCAGUUGAUAAAACGCGCUUCUUUUUUUUUUACUUUUUUUAUCCCUCUCCCUCGCAACUUUUCCCUCCGCUCCUCAAACAUCUCCCUCUCCAAUUUUUCUCCCUCAAUCUCACAAGAAUCCCACAAAAGGCGCCACCUUUCCCUCUCCAAUCCCCUCCAAACCCUUCGUUCUCCCUUUCCCCGAUCGCUUCGCGUUGCGCCAGGCAUUUCAUGGUUUGUUCUCGCGGGCACUCCCCUCACCUGUUCGACGAAAUUCCCCUGAGAGCACUGUUAUGUUUUUGGCCAAAAGAUGUAACUUUUGGCGUCUCUGGAUCUCGUUCCCUAUUUGGUCAACUCUUCGACCGGUUUCGGCGAUUACCCAGAGCGGUUUUUUCUCGUCGGAGUCUCGUAAGAACUUGUCGGAGUUGUUUCAGCCACCGGCGCCGGCGUAUUCUGAUUCCGCUUGUCAAAUUGGAAGGAUUUUGCAGUGCAAUCAGUGGUCGGAGUCUGUAGCUAUGGAAUUGGAAAGGCUCGGUGUGGAGUUGAAUCCUUAUGUGGUUAAUCAAGUUUUGAAAAGCUUGUCGGAUUCGGCUUUGGCCUUCCACUUUUACUGGUGGGCCGAAUCCCGGCCUGAUUUUGAGCACGAUCACUUCACUAUCAAGUCGAUCGUCUCCCUCCUGUUGCAAGAUCAGAACUUUGGGCUGUUAUCGGAUGUUUUGAGAAGAAUUAGGCGUAAGGGUUUAUCUUUGCACCGGUCCUUGUACCGGAUUCUUAUAUCUGGUUACGUUCGCGCAGGGUUGAUUGGUUCGGCGAUAGAAAUGUUUGAUCAGAUGAUUGUGUCUGGUUGCCGUGUAUUUAGUAUAGAUUAUAAUCGACUCAUUGGUGUUUUAAUUAAGAAUCAAAACUUUGAUUUAGUGGAGAAGUACUAUAAUAUGAUGAUUCAACAAGGUUUAUCUUUGACCCCGUUCACUUACUCAAGGUGGAUAUCCAGUUUAUGUGAAGCAAGAAGAAUUGGGCUUGUUGAGAACCUCCUAGGCGAUAUGAAUAAGAUUGGGUCUUUUCCGGAUAUUUGGGCUUGCAAUAUAUAUUUAGAUUCUCUAUGUAAGGAUAGAAGGUUGGACGAUGCCAUGAAUUUUUUAGAGACCAUGGUUAAGAAGGGGAGAGACCCAGAUGUUGUAACUUACACCACGAUAAUUAACGGUUUGUGUGAAAGUAAACGAAUCUCAGAUGCGGUAGAGCUAUGGGAGGAAAUGGUGAAGAGGGGGUUUACGCCGGAUGGUGUUGCUUGUGGUGCCCUAAUAUUUGGUUUAUGUAAUCAUGGUAAGGUCGAUGUAGCUUAUGAGCUCGCAAUGGGAAUGCUAAAGAUGAACAUCGAUAUCUCUGUAUCAGUUUAUAAUGCCCUAAUAAGUGGGUUCUGGAGAGCUGGAAGAGUUGAUAAAGCCCAUACAAUUAUGUCCUUCAUGCAAAGAAAUGGAUGCCAACCCGAUUUGGUCACAUACAAUAUACUUCUGAAUCAUUACUGUAAUAAGGUUAUGCUGGAUAAAGCAUAUAAUUUAAUAAAGAAGAUGGAGACGAGCGGAAUAAGCCCGGAUAGACACAGUUAUAAUCAAUUAUUAAAGGGUCUUUGCAAGGCUAAUAAGCUUGAGAAGGCACAUGCUUUGUUCACUGAUCAGAUGGAGCUAAACGGAUUCUGCGAUGUUGUAUCUUGUAACAUACUAAUCGAUGCAUUUUGCAGGGCGAGGAAAAUGGAGAGUGCAUUUAACUUAUUCAAGGAGAUGAGUCAGAAAGGAAUAACCGCUGAUGCUGUGACUUAUGGGACACUGAUUAAUGGAUUUUUUAGAGUAGGAUAUUCUAAUGUAGCUGAGGAACUUUUUCACCAAAUGCUUAAGGCUGGAGUUGUCCCAAAUGUUAAUUUGUACAAUAUUAUGAUUUACUACAUUUGUGAGGCUGGUCGUCUGAGAUAUGCUCAGAAGUUGUUCUCCGACAUGGUUGAGAAGGGAAUAAACCCUGAUGUAGUUUCUUUUAACACUCUAAUAAAUGGGCUUAAAAAGAGUUUAAGAAUGAAUGAGGCCCUCGAUGUAUACAAGGACAUGUGUAAUAAAGGAGUAACUCCUGACAACUUGACAUUUAGAUUAUUGGUUGGAGGAUUUCUAAAGGAAGGGAAGAUUAUGAUGGCUUAUAGAAUCUGGGAACAUAUGAUGGAGAAUGGAUUCACUCUUGACAGAGACGUGUCAGAAAGACUGGUAGAUGCAAUUAAGGCAAAAGGCAACUAGACACGAAUUAUAGAGUCAUGUGCCAUGCUAGAGCUUCUGUAGAAGUUCUAAUUGAGAAAAACUGUUUGAAGAAACACUAACAUUUUUCUCAUUAAGAAUCCUUCAACAACUACUUGCUGCAGCAAAAAUAGAAAUUUCAAUUUGGAGCUUGCUUUUGGAGCCUUUAAGUUCAUUUCAGCUCCAGAAUUUUGUCUGCCAAGCGCUCGGCUGUUGCUCUUGGAAUGAAAAUGCUGUUUCAAAAAUCAGACCAAGUACUUACCAAGAAUUCCAAUGUUCGUUUAAUAGCUUCAUUUUCUAUUCCAUCUUUAUAUUUGGGGGAUUAACAAAUCCAUCUUUUGGUUGUUUGUGCUUUUGUACAGUAUCCAGAAGGGCAGAAUCUCAAUGCACGAGAUCUCGCACUUUUGGCUCAUGAAUGUGAAUUGUGUUCAGAAAGAUACGGUAACUUAUUGGUGUUGAUUAGUUCUCAAACCACAAAGAAUUGUCAUGUUUUUCUUUUCUUCACUUUUGCAAUUUUGGAAUACAAUGUCAUGUUUACGAGUCAGUAUUCAUAUACAACACAUCACAUGUGUACUUCCAAAAUCCAAACUAUUCAAAUGAAAAGAAGAAAGUGCUUCCUAGAAAUUUGAUUUUUUUGAUAGAACAGCUACUUAAAAUGUUCCUUCUGAGACUCCGCCAUUUGACCCAAACUCAUAUUGGCUUGGUCUGCGAAAUCUGGGAGAAUCAUAAUAGAAGAAAUUAUAGAAACUUUGGGAAGGUUUUUGUCGGUUAUAUUUUCAAGUGUUUUAGAUCCAGUGGAAACUUUGAAAUAUCAAACCGAGAUACGGUAAUCCGCUUUCUAACACUUUGAUUUACUGUUAUGUGAGUUUCCUCCUUGAUAGACUAACAUAAAACGGAGGCAGUCUCACAGUUCUAUUUUAGGUUGAACUAAGCUAACUAAUACAUAUCUUAAUGCAGGAUGGAGAGAUUUACAUCAUUGAAGCAGUGGCUUCCUCAGUAAGGCAAUCUUUUUCACUCUUGUUUACAUUUUGUGUAUCUGCAAAUCUUCUGAAGAAAUUCUUCCAGGCAUGCUUUUCCAAGUACUAGUUCAUUUUAAAAUCACUUUGAUUAAGCACCUAAGGCGCCUAAGUAUAAUUAUUAUAUUUUGUGUGUCUAUUUUGUUAUCAACUGGUCCGGUCGAAUAUCCUAGUUUAUGGUGUGAUAGAAAUUCAACUGUAACAUAAAUGCGGCUGAUAUGUUUGAUAUGCUUUAGCAGUAUUUGCUUGGGAAAUUCCUUCUAUUGCUAUCCACCGUUCAUGGGAUUAUACCGUUACGACGAGUUGAAAAGAUGAUAGCCGUGUUGUAAGUAAGGAGCUUUCGGCAUUUCUUGUAUUGUAAUUCAGAAUGUUUGCAAACAUGAAUCUAUACUAAUUAUUGGAUCUUAUUGCCAGGCCCCAAUGCUUAUGUUGACGCCACUGGAGCCGUGUGCCGCACCGGAUUGGUUUCCUUGCACAAAUUCUACAAGUGAACACCUCAAGUGUUUCAGCUUAGUGUAGAGAUGAUUCGACAGUUUUCUCUGGCAACAGUAAUGGCUAAAGAAGGGCGUUAAAUGCAGAAUAAUGUUGUGAAAUGCUCCUUUUUGGAUCUGGGUAUUAUUAUGUGCAUUGAUCUUUGUAACAAGCAUAGUGAUACGCCCGUUUGUCAACAACAUAAUUUUCUUCGAAAUUUAGUCUAUGUGUGUGAUAAUUUGUGCGCACUUAUGAUAUAAAUUGUUCGUGUUCUAAUGGAAGGAUUAUGUAUUUUUUAACCCCCUAAUCCAGCAAAGUGAUAUGUAAUGUACUCGAGUUUUUGCGAGACCUCAGAAAAAAAAACAUCUGCAACUGCAAGAAAAAUUACUACAGCAGGGAGGGACAAUAUUUCUUUUUUCAUACAACAGUAGUGCAUGCUAUUUGCAAAAUUAUACAGCUUGAACCUGAAAAUAAAAGAAGAAAAGAUGAAACACCCAUUACUGCAGAAAACUUAUCUACUCUUCAGCAGGAGGGACAUCACUCAAAUCUAAACCCUCCGCAGGCAAGUCCGAGGUCAGCGGACCUAAUAUACCCUCCGAACUUAGAGUUAAACCACUCUGCAUAAAAGAAAGCAAAUAUCAGAGCAAUUAAUCCACAUAUUCAACUGUAGUGGCAAAGUUAGAUUUAAUAGAUUUUCAUUAGGGAGAAAUGUUCUUCAACAAGCCAUUGACAUGACAUUGCGAAUGAUAGUUAACAAUCUCAUGCAAGGUGAUUAACAAAAUCGCAUCGCGCUUAGAACUCGGCGGAAAGAAAUGACACCAAGAAUUAACUGUAAUAAUUAAACGGCAUAUUGCUAGAUAAUAGUGAGUACCUCGGGUUGGAAUCUUAGCAUAUCAGCACGGGCCAUUGCCUCGGCUUGAGCUAUCCUCUGCCUAAAUAUCUGAGCCAUCUCAUCCGCCUAAUCGAACCAGAAUAAGUUAGAAAACCAGUACCGAUGAGAUUCUCGGAACACAAGGCAUAAAGAAAAUAAUAGUGAUGAAAAGUUUGAAUGAGUGUUACCUUCUCAAAAACAAGUUUUGGAUUGCGAAUCAUGUCACCAGGGGUUGGUUCAAGCUUCUUAGUAGAGAGGCUAACUCGGCCUCUUUCGCGAUCAUGGCUUAGGAUCAUCACCUUAUUGGAUCAUAGGUUUCUCUAUGUGAGCUUUAAGAAACAGUUAAACAACUAAAAUUGACAAAAAUAAGGGUUAAGACAGUACCUUGAGGGUGUCUCCAGGUUGCAACACUGUUGAGAUGUCCGAUACACGAUCAUGGCUUAUCUGGCUAACAUGGAGAAGGCCAUUGAUUCCACCAAUGUCGAUAAAGGCACCAUAAGGUUUUAAACUCUGCACAGUUCCCAAGACCACCGAACCAAUACCGAGCUGAGCUUGGCUAUCGGCCAUGGCUUUGCGAUUACUCAGAACAAGCCUAGAUUGCUCCUCAUCAACCUCAACGAAUUUAAGGGGUAAUUCCUUAUCAAUGAGUUCCUCUGCAGACGAUUUCUGAUUAAGAUCUCAAGAAACAAGUUAAUAAGACAGUUAUCCGAGGAUUUCCUAUUAUUUGAAUAGAACAAAACGAGGCUCAUACAUAUUUUAAGUUCAAAUGAGGAUAAAUACGAAGGUUAAUAGAUUAAGGAACCAACCGAUGAUAUCUGUGAAAAUGGAACAAAACCACGAAGACCUUCCACAAUGGCUACCACACCUCCUUUAUUUCCUCCAACAACCUAUGCAUUAUAAAUGAUGGCAAAAUCACAUAACGAGGCAAACAACGCACUUCUAAGAGCUAUUCAAAUUAAUAUAAAGAAAGUGUUUUCAGAUAAAAAUAACAUACUUAGAAAAGUUGAUCGGUACGAGAGUACUUGAAAGAAAAGGAGGCAGUAAUAAAACAAAGCAAACAUGAAGUGGACUCGGGAAAGCGUGAAGUUCAAAAAUUCCAAAGAACGAACUGAAUCACUUCUCCUUGCAUAAAACGCAUCUCCAUCAUCCCUCUAGUUGACUCAGUUUCACUGCGGUUGAUUUCACCACAUAGUUAUGACAUAAUAAAACCCUUUUAUAUAGAAUAUGCAGUCGGCUAGAGCAGAGCACUGCUUAAAAGUCAAUAGGACUGUACAGAUGGACUGAUGUGCUCUUAUGACUGACUAUCAACUUAAAUGUGUAACCUUCAAAUUUUUGUUGUCUAUCCUGACCAACACAUUACCGAGCAAGAAAUACUUAACAUGAAACCUACAAAACCAAUUUAUCCAACACAUUACCGAGCAAGAAAUACUUAACAUGAAACCUACAAAACCAAUUUAUCCAAAAUGUGUCUCAAAAUAAAUGAAUACGUGAGCUAUCAACACAGUUCACACAAUACAGUAAAUGUUUAUUUAGUGUACGAUUUAAACGAAUAUAUGAAAUAGUGUUUCCUUGAAAUAAACAAAUGCUAGAGAACAACAUAAUAUCAACAUAGUUGCACAAUUUCGAAGUAAAUGUAUGCAUGUAGGUAACUAUAUAUAGCUUCAAAAGAAUAUAGGCAUAAUCUGUCAAAACUGGGAGCAAAAAAAGCUCCUGAUGAAUUCUAUUUACAAUGGAUACUCACCUUACCCUUCACAACAACAUCUUCAGCUUGGAGUUGCCUGCACCUUUCCCACGCAAGAUCAUACUGAAUCGACCGCAGACUCAAAAUUAAGCUAUCAUCGGAGGUCUUCUCACCAAUUACAACAAACUCUUCAACUAAUCCUGGAUAAAUGCCUGCCUCCGAUACAUGCUUUAAUUUAUGAAUGCAUGCCUCUUGAAGAGGUAAGUAAGCAGAAGAUUUAGCUGUAAUGUCAACAAGUGCACCAUUUGCAUCUGUCAUGAAAACUGUGCCCUUAACCUGUAAAAAUAGUUACAAACGGUCGGUUGGCAUUGAAAGACAACAAAUAUAUGUACAACUUCAUAAAAUUUUCCAAAGUAGUUUUCUUUAAAACUAUGUUGCACAGAUACGGAUACGGGGAUACGGAUACGACACGAUACGGAUACGAUGAUACGGCAAUUCCUAAAACUUCUAGGAUACGAUACGCGGGAUAUACUUGAAUAAAAUAUUAUUUUAAAUAUAUUUAAAUAUAUGUUGAGUAUAUGUAAUAAUAUAUUGAGAGCAAUCAGGAUAUUUGGACUAUAUUAAGGAAUAUAUUCUAAUGUGCAUUAACUUGUAUAAUUGUCUUACAUAUGUUCAUAAAAAAAGAUAAUCAAUCAUAUAAAAUAAUAAUUCAAAAAGUAUCAAACCAACUAUUAUCUAACUUGAUCAAAUGAUAACAAUAGAUAUGCAGUCGCACAAACUAGAUAAUUAGCCAUUCAAUAUAUAUGUCUGUUUUAUUAGUUCUAUUAUUAAAAUAGUAAUAUAAAAAUAUGCUAACAAUUUAAUAGAGAAGGAAAAAAAAAAAAAAUUUCUAUAUCCUUUGUUGCUUAAUACUAGGUUGACAAAUUAGAUGAAAAAGAGUAAAUACUGUGUGAAGAGAGAACGAGAGGGAGCACCUUCUACCAUUCAAGAGCAAAAAGGUAGAUGAAAUGACAAAUUGAACAGUGAUUGGCGUUUUUCUCUCUUUUCCUUCUUUCCAAUAGAUUUGGACGUGAGCUCUUAAAAAUAAUUUAAGUUUCGAUCAUUUUAGACCAAAAAAGAAUUUGGCCAUGUCCCCCCGGUAUCCCCCCGUAUCCCUCACGUAUCCGAGCCGUAUCCGAUAUUUUUUUAUUUUUUAAAAAUGCCGGAUAUUUCAUUCCCGUAUCGGGCGCAUAUCGGUAUCCGAUACGUAUCCGAUACGGGUACGGCAUGAAAUUUGAAGUAUCCGUGCUUCAUAGCUUUAAAACCUUUGAUUGAUCCACUAGAAUGUAUGAUGGACAACUAACUUUGGUUUAAACAUCAAUGAUUUUGCAAUAUUUCAAAAGAACAAGGCAAACAAUACAUGAAUUCAAACAACUAUCUAAUGCCAUUUACUCCAUACACUGAUUUCAUAGGAAAUUAUAACCAUGUGGACAAAUUCCACAUUAACUCCAUCUAAGUAGAGCAAAUUACUACCAACAAUCCUUUGCAAAAAUCUCCACCAGCAUCAAAAUUAUGCAUCCAAAAUUAAACCAUACAUAUCUUCUAGAAUCUCACUUAUGAUGAACUCAUUUAAAACAAAACUAGAGAACUAGCCAGCCCCUAUCCACAAAUCACUACUCAACACAUUCAAAUCCAAUACAAAAGAACUCAACAAUAUGCUUGUUACAUAUCUUAAACUCGCCCAUCCAUUUUGCCGACAUCGUCUAUCCCACUAGAAUCGAAUAGUUAAACACAAAAACUACCAAUUCAACAUCAAAUUCACACAAAUCGCGUAUCAACAACACUCCCAAUUCCACGAGAGAGAGAGAGAGAGAGAGAGAGAGAGAGCUAGGGCGAGACCUUGCUUCCGAUUUCGGCGUCGAAGUCGUACUUGUCGAGGGCGGCGUUGAAGUCCUCGACGGUGAAGGAGACGCCCUCCAUGGGCGCGGUGCGGCACCGCUCGUAGGCCUCCUCGAAGAGCUCCUUGAGCUUCUGCCGCUCCUUUUGCGCCGGGGUUAGGGCGUACGUCCCCGCCACCACCGCCGCGACCACGGUGGUGGAAACCCUAGACGACGAAGAAUAAGGGCGCUUAGAGGAGGAAGAGGACGACGAGGAGGAGGGUUUGGAGAGCGCAGGGGAGGAGGAGAGGGGCGGGCAUCGGAGGCCGGAGAAGUGCUGCGCCAAAGACGCCAUUUUUGAGCUCCCUCAGUCUCUCCCUCUGUGGACUCUAAUCUAUCCCCUUCUUUAUCCUACUGUUAUACGGGUUUCGGGUUUUGUAAAAACGGAUCGGAUCCGACCAUAUUCGUAUUCAUCCGCAUUCGAAUUUAAAAAAAAUCAGAUUUUAUAGGAAAAGAUUACAUUAACUCUAACUAAUUGGAUUCACAGCUCUACUUGUUCUUCAUGCAUUGAGUGUCCUCCUGUGGGGCUUCUGUUUAUGUAUUAUGUUUUGAAGUUUCUAGAUACGGCAAAUAAAAUUUAUCUGAAUUUUAUUGCACUUAGAAUUAAAAUUUGUAUCGAACAAAUAUAAUACUACCUUGCUCAUUUAUGUGUUACAAGUUUAGUUUGAUUAAUAGCGAUUUAUGUAUUUUUGUGGUUAUAUAUAAGCAUAAAUUACGCUUAGAUUUAUGAGCUUUUGUUUGAUUACUAAGAUGUGUAGGGAAAUAAGGAGGGUUUAAUUUUUUUUUUUAAGGGAUUAUUAAGUGAUUUUAUUACUAUGUGUGGGGAGGUAAAAAAUGUUUGAUUGUUUUUCAUUAGAAGAUAAGAAGAUGAUUUUUUGCAAAAAUAUUAUAAAAAAAUAAGAUGAUUUUUUAUAUUCUUCAUUUAUUUUAUUAUCAAUUUCAUAUAUAAAAUCUUAAUCGCAUUGUUGUUAAUUCUAAUUCAUAUUUAUAUACGCAUUUUAGCUUAUAUUAUUAUUCGAAUAGUAUUCAAGUAUAUAUUCGAUUCACAUUCGAAUCCGAAAACAUAUUCAAUCGUAUUCGAAUCUAUUUUUUACCGCUAUGGUAAUAAAAUCUAUCAUCAAAAACAUAUUUGUAUGUGAAUCCGUAUCAACAAAAUAAAAAAAUAAAUAACAGAGAGAAUGCGAGUAUGGUUCCACCAACACACUGCGCACCUUACAAUGGUGUAGGGGAUGUUCAACAAUUUCGUUUUAAAGUAAAGAGUAAAAUACAAUGUUGUUUAAAGCUUAAGAACUAAAAUGAAAUCUUAUUGAAAGUUUGAAAUCUCAAAUAUUGAAUCCAAAAGUUUAAAAACCAAAAUGAAACUUGGACUUAAAGUUCAGAGGCUAGUAAAAUAAUUUACUCAAAUUUUAAUGGAACAUUUGAAAAAAAAAAAAAAAAAAAAAAAAAAAAGGAAAAAAAGGGGGGAAUAAUUUGGAACUUUUGCUAUAAUAAAAGCCAAGUGGAGAUUUUAGAACCUCUGAUUAUGCUCCAUUCAAAACAUACUAAAUUACUAAUGAUAAAUAGUAUUUUAGCGUAAUGUUUUUAUAAUAACAAUAUCAUUUUUUGAAAUAAUGUGUCCAUAUUUAUAUCUGUAGGAGGUUGAUACUGUCAGAAAAAAUACUGCUAGGAGCAAAAUAAAAUUUCAAUUUGUUUUUCACACAUUUCAGUAUAUAAUAAUAUAUAAUAAGUUAAAAAUUGGUUGAACUAUCUUAAAAAUGUAAUGUGGGACGUAACGGACCAGUUCAGAAAAACUGCUGACCGGGAGUGGGCCGCCACCCAUGUCAAUGUAGGCCGGGUUGGAGUGCGCUAGGCAACCCAAUUAAUUUUUUAUUUUUUAAUAUUUUUAGUUUUUUAUUGGGAAAAUUUUAAAAAACCUCCUGUGGUUUCGUAGUUUCUCACUUUACUCCCAUGUGGUUUAAAAUGUAUCAAAUUGCCCCCCUGUGGUUUCUUUUUUAUCUUUUCGGUAGCUUUUUCGUUAAUAUUUCAUUAAAUUAUAUACAAAAAACUUCAGAUACCCAUUUAGAUUUAUCAAAUAUUCACUUUAGUACCCUUUAAUUUUAACUUUAUCACUGAUUUAAGAAAAAAAAAAUAAAAUUGAUAAGAAAAGGCAAAAAAAGAAACCACAGGGGGGCAAAUUGAUACAUUUUAAACCAUAGGGGGGCAAAGUGAGAAACUACGAAACCACAGGGGGUUUUUUUGAAGUUUUUCCUUUUUUAUUUUAAAUUUUUAAUAUUAGUCUUUUAAAGUGUGUAUUAAAAUUCGAAUAGCUUUAAUUACAUAUAAAAACUUAUUUGUUAUAAAAUAAAAAAAAAGUUUUGGAUCAUGCCGGCUCAAUAAACAUGGUGUAGACGAGAGACUUACAACAAAACAUCAUGUAAGAAGGAGAAUGUAAACUUAAAAUUGUUUUAAUAAAUUUUUAAAAAAAUAUUAUGAUUUGUUUAUUUUUGAGCCGAAGUCUGAGAUUUACCAUGGAAAGGUUGAGCUAUUUACGGGCCAAAGAGUGGGAAAAGACUUCAGUUAAGGAGCUCCGAUUCGCUUUUAUAUGUUAGUUUUAUCUUUAUAUAAGAUUUAUAAUUAUUCCAUCGUAGUAUUAAAAAAUGUUCAACGAAUCAUUAGAUGACAGCACUGACACGUAAAAACAAAUCAAGAACUCCAGCACUGACACCACUGACACGUAAAAGUAAAUUAAGAACUCCCUAAAGAUCAAGUACACAUAAAAUAAACACAAAAUAUCUACUCUAUCUACUUUUUUUUUAGAGAUAGAUAGCACGCUAGCCGUUUCGUUUAUUUCAUUUAGAAAUAAAUUUAGCUGAAAAUGUGAAUCAAUUAGCAUUUGAACUUGGAUAUCGAGUACCAACUAUCAAAUCUUUUGCUACUUGCUCUAGGGACGGUCGGUAUAUCUACUCUAUCUACUAAGAUCGAUUUACUCGCAUAAGGGCACAUAUGAUGAUACUCAGGACUAGACUAGACAGGAUAAUGGAAGGGAAUUGGAUAGGAACAGUACUUGACUCGGACUCAAUUAAAAAAAUAAACUUUUUGGGUUUUGGAACGCAUGAUGUAAUAAACAAUUGAAUUUAAACCAAAAAUCAAAUUCACAAACUUUGAGAUUGACUUAAAAAUAUUUUAAUGUGAUUCAAAAUUUAAAUAUUCAAUUGAAAUUACUUAUUAAAAACUAAAAUUAGAAUUAAAAAAGUUUCAACUUUUAAUUGAAUUUUCAGAUAAAAUUUAAAAAUUUUGAAUUUGAACAUAAAUUUAAAUUUAUAUUUUGAAUUGUAAAUUUGACAUUCAAUUUAAGAACUAAAUUUAAAUUUAAAUUUAAAUUUUAGGACACGAUGGUGUAAAAGAACUAGAGACCGAAAACCUUGUAACUAAUUGAGAAAUAUGAAAAAAGAAAAAAAAAAAAAUCUAACAUGGCACUUAACUAAGUAACAAGUAACAGUAGGGUCUGAAUUAAUGUAACACGCGCAUGCAUCUCACCACAAAAUCUACGGCCGCCUUCUUCACGUCCCUUUCGACGCCAUCCACCAUCUCGCGGACGCCCUUUAUCCCCUUCUCGACCUCCUUCUUCUUCUUCUUCUCCAUCUCUCGUUCGAGAUGAGAGGCUGCCUGCACCUGAAGGCCGGCCUCCUUAGUUGGCGCAGCAACAUUACUUCGUUCUAUCUCGACGGCACGUAAGGCGACGCGCUCUAUCCUCAGGUUCUCGAGAAGGGCUCUUAUGCGCUCCAGAUCGAAGUGCAGCAGCGCAGAGCCGGCCACUGCCUCGGCGCAUCGCCUCGACGGCAUUCUAUCUGGCUUUCCAACCGGCUCUUGCGCACUCUGGGCAAGGACUCAACCGCGUUCAUGGCGGUGGCGCCCAGCAGAUUUACCACCGCGAGGGAUGCCACCGGCACCGUAGCAAUGGCGACCGGCGGGCACCAUCGUGGCCACGAGCGCCGUCAAGUUGAUGACCACAAGCACGGCGGGCAGCACAGCGACUCUCCAAAAGCUCUUACAUUUCUCAAGGGCCUCCUCCAGCUCGCUGUGCCUCUCUCUCAAUCCCUUCAGCAGCAGCCAUAGCCCCUUGCGGAUCUCCUCCACGAGUUCAGCGGUGCUCAUGUCCUGAAACGGGCUCCCCUCCGCCAGCUCCGGCGCCACAAUCAUCAUGGUCUUUCUGUCGUCGUCGUCAUCUCCGUCGUUGUCGACGCGAAGCUUCACGAGUGAAAGAUAGAAUAAUAGAAUAGAGGGGCGUAGACGUUAUACCUCAAAUAGAGAAGCACGAGGGCGAGGUUUGAGGGGGAGUACGUUGGAAUAAACAGGAUCGAGAUCCACGGCCGGGGCAAUGAUGACGGACUCAGAGUAGGGACCGGACGGCGGCGACAUCUCGGGUGCGAGCCGGCAGAUUUGUCUGAUCAGCAUCGCAUAAAAGUGGGUGGAUCCAACGUCGGCGUUCGACUUCUCCGUCUUCUCCGUUUUGAUGUUGCAAGCACGCUUUUUUUUUUUUUUUUUCCCUGUGGUAUAAUAUCCAAAUCAACGCGCAAAAAUUAUUCACCGCAGAAUAUAUUACGAUUAUAAGGAUCUGAUUUCAACCCACCAAAAACCUCUGAUGGUGCCCUAGAGAGAAUCCAAAAGAGAGAAUUUCAUCAAAAGUCAAAAGAUUAUAUUAAUUUUCUUACUUAUCGUAUGUGGCCAAUACCUUAUGUAUUUAUAGAUCAUAAAGAAGACUUUAAUUCUAAUCCUAUUAUAACUGAAUCUCAUAUAAAUAGAAAUUUAAACAAAUUAGAACUUAUUUCUUAGAUUUAUUGUUUAUUCCAUAUGAACUAGAAAUAUUUUAGAUAAGUCUUAAUAUGGACGAAUCCUAACAUUUCUAAUAAGAAAACGGAGAACUCUUUUUUAAAAACUAGUUGAAUGUGCGUAUAAAUACACGUAACAAUUAUUUUAAUUUAUCUCAAAUCAACAUAAAUUUGUACAUUAUAUUUAUCCAUAAAAUUUACAAUAAAACUAUAUUUUAUAAAUUUAUAUAUUAUAUUUUACUAGAAAAUAUUUGCAAUAUUCUACGGUAUUUUUUUUAUAAUAUAUUUUUUGAUUUUUGAUGAAUCUAUAAUUUAAAUAUGUGUUUUAAACUAAAAGUAUCAAAACUUAAUUCACAUUUACUUUAAAAAUUAAAAUUUAAUUUUGAUCCACUAUAAUUAAAAAAAUUAAUUGUUAAUUUAAAUUUGAUAUCAAAAAUUAAAUUUAAUUCACGAUUUAAACUCAAAUUUUAAUUUUAAUGUAAAAUAGAUAGAUAAGAAUGUUAUUUUUUAACAAAUUGAUCAUAAUUGUUUAUUUUUAUUUGAGUUAUUUUUUAACAAAUUGAUCAUAACCGUUCGUAUGACUGAAUUUAUAGAUAGAAAGAAAUAUUAUUUUUUAAUAAAUUUAUUAUAACCGUUCGUUCUUAUUUAAGAUUGUUUUUAAUAAAUGGAUCAUAAUUCGUAUGAAGCGUUAUUGUAGGAAUUUCUAUACCCUUUUAUAUAUAGUAUAAAUUUAAGAUAUUUUUUAAUAAAUUGAUCAAAACCAUCCACAUGGAAUCUUUUUUUAUUUCUUUUUCGAUUCCGUCUGUUAUUAUAGAAAUUUUUAUGCGCUUUCAUAUAUAAAUAUAAUAUAAAAAUUAUUAUUGUUGGUUUUAUUUUCUGAAAGGGAACAAGCAGAGAGGAUUAGCGGGUAGGAGAGAGACACGCCCCCAAUCUAUUUGAUGGAAGAACAAGAUAUCCUUUUGAACAACAUGUUCUAAUAGAAAAAGGUCCUACUUCUGCAGUAAAUACUUGGAACUUAUUAAAUUAAAAAAAAAAGAACUAAUUCAACUUAGAGCAUAUUUGAUUGCCUGCAAACGGUUAAAAUGAAUAAAAUUACUUUUAUAAAAGUAAUUUUUGAGUUCGAUUAUUUAGUUGGCUAUAUAAAGUAAAAUAAUAAAAAAAAAUUAUAGUUUUAUAUUUUCUAUUGCUUGAUUAUUUAUUUGAUUUUAUAUAGAGAAGUGAAAAUAUAAACAAAUUAACAGCUUACGCUCAUAAUUUAAACUAAAUUUAUAUUUAUAUUUAUGUUUAUUUAAAAUUAAUCAGGGUAAAAUAUUUAACUUAUAGUUAACUAACUUUUUCUAAUGUAUUCUAAAAGCAGGGACGUAUUUGAAAAAUAUUAAGAUUUUUAUAGAAAUAACUUAUAAAAAUUAAAUUUUACAAAAAUAUUUUUGUAAGUUACUAUAUUUGCAGGACUUAUGCAAUUAACCCUUAUUUAUAUAUAGUCUCGAUAAGCCCGGUUCACACACAUGGUAUAUGAUUAAAAAUAUAGUAUUUUAAUACUAUUUAGCUUUAAAUUGUUCCGCUUUAUCACAUGUACUUAAAAGAAAGCUUCGUCACGAAAUUAGUACAAUGAAUAAGCUGUCCGGUUCGAGUCUUAAAUAAAAAGAUUUAACAUCAAAAGAUGUAGUAAUAAAAAAACACACAUCUUAACAUUCGAUCAAUGAAUGUUGAGGGUUUUGGAACAUAUAUACGACCAAGUCUUCAAUAUCAUAAAUAUUACACAUAGAUACACCAACCACCCAGUACUAUUUUGAUCACACAAGUAGAAGAAACAACACCGACAUUAAGCAAACUACUGAUCGAAAAUAUAUAUCACGAGACAACAUAUAGAAACAACAAUUUUACCACUCAUUUGGCAAUACUGUUCACAAAGUCGAUGGCCUCCUUCUUCACCUCUUCUUCGACGCAGUCUGCCAUGCAUCUUGCGGACUCCGAGAUGAGCCAUUGCCGCUGCUGUCUGGCCGACGCAGCCCUGAUCAGCAUGAUCGUCAGUUGCCGUAGAGUACAUGCAUGUUUUGUUUUAUCUCGGCGGUGCGUAGUGCGGCGCGCUCUAUCUUCAGAUUCUCAACUUGCGCUCUUAAUUAUCUGCUUCAGAUUGGGCGGCAGCAGCAGCAGUGCCAGCAGCUUGGGAGCAAGCCCACAGACAGCUUCAAACAGCGUCGCAAGCUCUGCGUGGAGGCCGGCAGUUCGACGAUGUUUGAGCUCUCGGCCUUGCUGAUGUGGCCACCCAUUUCUUGUCUAGGCAAGCGGAGAGAGAAGAAAAGGAUAUUUUGAGGAGUGGAGUGUAUGCUCCUAAUGGUUCAAGAUAUGUAUGCCGCUGCGACAGCUUCAAGAAUGCAGUAGUUCUUGUUAGAAUGCAAACGUGCAAUUGUCUCAGGUUGACAUUAAAAACUUGUUUGGUUCAAGGUGAAAUUAGAAUGAGUAAUGGAAUGAGAAUGAAUUGGAAUGAUAAUUGAAAUGACCCAUUCCCCCAAAACGUUUGAUUUAUUUGUGGAUUGAGAAUUGAAAUAAGUUAUUUACAUUUCAUUGUUUGGUUCGUAUAAACUAAAAAAAUUAUAGAAUACUAUAAUACUAAUUUUACUCUCAAAUAUAAAUUUAUAUUAUUUAAAAUUUAUGAAAAAUAUGAUACUAUUAUCUAAUAAGUUUUCAAAAAAAAAAUUAAAUUUAUUUUUAAAAACUUUUAUUGAUUGGGUUAAGGAUAGGGUUUUGAAAGAGAAUAUGUUUUUUUUUUUUUUUUGAUGAGAAAGGGGUGAAGAGAAGGAGGGUGAGAUGGUCACAUGGGCUGCGAAAGCUUAGUGGGCUUCCGGAAUGAAACCUCAAUCCGGGCUAGAAGACCGGAAUCAAGUUGAAGGCUAAUGGGCCAUUCCCAUUCCAGUCCGGAAUAGGAAUCUCAAACCGAUUCAUGCGAACCAAACAAAAUUAACCGGAUUUGAUCAAACCGAUUCCCAUUCCAUACCCAAAAUGGAUGAACCAAACGAGCCCUAAAUAUUUUUUUUUUAUAUAUAUAGAAAAGUGCUUGUGUUGUCUUUAAUUAUUGAAUGAUAAUUAUUAUUACUAUAUAUUACUGUAUUUAAUUUGGCUAUACAAACCAAUAUGAUCAAAUUUUAGCUUGAAUAGUCAAAUUAAAUACUAAUAAUAGUAGUAAUAGUAAUAAUAAUAAAAUUAUUAUUUAGUAAUAAUACUAUUUAUUAUUAUUAAAUAUUAAUAUAUAUUUGUGGAAAAAUAAGAUAAGUAUUUGUAUUUUUUUUUAUUUUAUAAUGAGUUGUAUAAUAUAUAUUGUGGAAAAAUAAGAUAAUUUUUUUGUAUUAUUUAUUUAUUUUAUUAUGAGUUUAUAUUAAAAUUAUAUUUAAAUUGGCAUAUACAAAUUUGAACCUAAGUGUGAAACUUGAAUUGUAUAUUUGCUAAUUUUAGUUCACAUUUAGAAGUGAAUGUUAUUAUUCCAAUAAUAUUUAAAUACAUAUCCGAUUUAUAUUGAAAUCCAAAAAAUUGUUCGAAUAUAUUUGACUAUAUUUUUAGUAGAUAUAGUAAUAAAAAUUUAGCAUCUGAUACAUUGAACAAUCAUUUUCGUUGUUUGUUUCACCAUAAUAAAAAUACGGUCGAAACUCGAGUUAUCCGAAAUAGCGUCCUAAGUCACUUACGGUAAAGAAAAAUGUAGGAAAAAUAAUUAAAUAAAACAAAAAAUAAUGCUAGUUAUAUUUAAAUAUAUUUAAUUAUGACAUUAAUUAUUCUUUUAUUUAGUUUGUAUAUUUAAAAUCGGCCAAUUUGCAUUAAAAAAUUUAUUAGUUUUAAACUUUUGCAAAAGUAGGUCAUUUUUUUGGAUUUUGCAGAUUUGUAUCAAAUUUUUAGAAAACUUGCCACAAUACCUUCAUUCCCUUUUCUCUCUCAUAUUUUUUUUUCUCUCGUUCUUCUUUUUUUUCUCUCUGAAGAGGGCGGCUGAGGCGGAGACGGUCUGUCUCGCCUCUAUCCGUGCACCCUCACCCUCGCCCUUGCCUGUGCACUAUCCCUCAGCCUUUCUCGCCUUCGACCUUGCCGAGGCCGCAUAUCAAAUCUCUUUUUUUUUUUUUUUCUCACCGACGUCCCUCCUCCAUUGCCUCUCUGACUUUUUACGACAGUAAAGAGGGUAGCAUCUUCUUCCUCUCUUCUUUUUUUUUUUUCUCUUGUUAUUUUUUUCUCUUCGACCCCAUCUAUCACCUCCGCGAUCCUUCACCGACGGUUACACGGAUAGUGCCGCAUCCUCUUCCUCCCCUUUCGCCGGCGCAGGCACUGUAACAGCGUGACAACAUCGAAGAGUCGAAAAAUAAAUGGUCAAAAACAAAUGACCUUCUAAAAAUAAGGGGCAAUUUCAUAGAUACCCCUCCCAAAGUUUAAAAUAUCAUAUAUGCCCCUAUAAAGUUUAAAAUAUCACAUAUACCCCUGUAAACACUUAAAAUUAUCACCAAUACCCCUACUGUCAGUUGUCUUAACUUUACUAUAGUUAUUAAAAGGUUAAAGAUGGGUUAAUUUUUAAAAUGACCUAUUUGCCCUCAACUAUGCCUUAAGCAAAAAAAUGUAUGGAGACCCUCUCAACUAUAUGCCAUUUUGAAACUGCUCCCUCAACUUUUAUUAUUUUAGUUGACAACCCAUUAACUUUUAGUUUUUUAAAAAAAUUAACUAAUUUUAGUGUAUGAAAAAUGAGAAUUUUAUCAAAUUUUUUUAUGAUUUUACCAAAUCUAGUGGCUCUAUUUAAAUUUUGGCAAGUAAAUAACUAUGUAUAAAAAUUUAAAUAAAAAUAAAAGUUGAGGAUUUUUCCUAUCUUUUUUUAAUAUUGGAAGCUUAAAAAUUUUUUUAACCAAAAUUAUUUUCAAUAAUUUUCUCCAUUAAAUACAUUAAAAAACUAAAAUAUAAUAUAUUUUAGCCUACGAACAAAACUCUCUUUUUUUUAGUCGACAAAAAAAUACAUGCAUAUUGUUAUUUGAUUUAUUUUUUAUUAAAUAGGAAAAAAAAUUAAAUCUAUCUUUUAUUUCAAAAUUACUAUUACUGAUUAGGAAUGUGAAUUGAUAUAGGUACACAAUUUUAUUUGAACUCGAUUUUGAAUGGGGUGAGCUUAAUCGAUACUGAGUACGGAUAGUUUCAGUUAAAGUUACAAAAAAAAUAAAAUCACAUUAUAUUCAAACUCAAUUAUGGUUUUGAUUUAUAUCUAAACCAAACUUGAACCGAAAUCCGAAGCCGAAAACAAAACCAAAAUCAUAUAAAAACAUACUAUAUAUAAAAUACAAUUUUUAUAUAUUUUUUAAUAAUUAAUAUAUAUUAAUAAUUUAAUUUAAUAUUUAGUAUAUUAAAUAAUUAAAUUUAGGUUUAUAGAAAUUGUCUUGAAAUAUCUAUUAGUAUUUCUACUGUUAAUGGGAGAUAAAGGGUAAAAAUGGCAUUUUAAAAAUAUAACUCUAUUUUAAAGGGACUUUGACCGAACUUAACUAGUGAAGGGUAUUUAUGAUAAUUUUUGAUUUAUUGGAGGGCAUUCAUGAUAUUAUCGGUUUUAGAAGGGCAUUGAUGAAAUUAAUAGUCCCUGGAAGGGCAUCUAUGAAAUUAUCCCUAAAAAUAAAGAUUAGACUUUCUCAAUCUUCGGAGUUAUUAAACAUUAUCUAAAUAGUAUAAAAAAAUUUUUAUCAAAAAUUUAAUCGGUUUGAAUUACUAUACGCCGUUAAACAAGUAAACGGCUCAUAUAGGCCGUAAAAAAACUGUCAAUUUUGCAAUCCUUUGAUCACUAUGUAAAUAAAUUUUAAAAAUUAUAAAAUUUAGUUUCUAGAUAAUUCAAAUACUCUAGAUUAAUUUCAAUGAUUUCGAUCAUCGAUUCGAAAUCUUUAUUAUCAAAAAUGAUUUGAUAGGACGAAGAUCCCUAUCAUCCUAAAAAGAUAAUAGUUAGAUUCUAUCUAUCUAUAUAUAUAUAUAUAUAUAUAUAAUAGUACUUGUCCUAUCAAAUUCAUCUUAAGAGUUGAAAAAUGAACGGUCAUAAAUGAAUAACCUUCUUAAAAUAGAGGUUAGUCUUUCUUAAUUCAUAAUCAAAGUUAUCAACUUCAAGACUCCGAUCAUCGAUUCGGAAUAUCUAUCAUCAAGAACAAUUUGAUAGGACAAGUACUAUUAUCCUAUUAAUAGAAUAGUAGCCCUAGCCUCUAUAUAUAUAUAUAUAUGUGUGUGUGUGUGUAGAAUGAGGCUCUUAUACCAUUUAGGUACCGGAGCUUCAAAACUAUAAUUUCGUUUUCGGUCUUAGAAUAUUGAAAUCAACGAUAUAUACCGUUAAAUAUAAUUUAGGAUAUAAAAAAAUUUUAGAAAUAAAAUUUUAAUUUUUUUGAUAUCACUUACUUAAAAAAUAAAUUAUAUCAAAAUAAAUGCUAAAAAUUAAAUAAUUUUUAAAAUUUGAGAAUUGGACAUUUAAAUUCAAUCCUCUCAGCUCCGCGCGAAGGAUACGGGUGCGCAAUCUUCCGGGCCAAUCUCCGCCGCUCGUUUCCGCCGCGCUUCAAGAAGCUACCCAGCGCUGUUGUCUCCUUGCGGGCCCCACUGGUGGACUUUUUUUCGAUCGGACGGCCAGAAUUCUACGAGCUAAACGGACGGUCGCGAUAUCGAACUUGAGCUGUUCGGACCGAAACACGUAAUGGCGUGACACGAGGAGAAACCGACCACGUCACGGUGGGAAUCAUGCAGUGUACCUCCACCUUAACUUCACUACUCUGUGUUACAGUGUACCCAUAAAACGAUACUAUUAGCUGGACCCGGUUUGAAUCCUAAUUGAUUCAUAUUUUCAGCUAAAUUUAUUUCUAAAUAAAAUAAAUAAAGCGAGUAGAGUGCUACUUAUCUCUCAAAAAAAAAAAUUAAUUUUAAAAUAAUUUCAAGAGCUGCUUAAUUAGCUGAACAUAUUAUAUAAAAAAGUAUAUUAUAUUUAGAUUAAUAGAUUUAAACUUAACUGGUACAAUUAAGUAACACAUAAAUUGACUAUUCAUUCAGCUGCAAUAGUUGACAAAGUAUUCAACUAUUUAAAAAAGGCUAAAUUAUAGAAAACCCUCGUAUCAAAAUCUGAUUUUUCACUUUUUCUUCCUGUCAUUUAAAAAUCUACACUUUUGCUCCGUUGUAAAAUAAAAAAUAUUCACAGAGAGGUACAGUGUGUAUUAUGAUGACAAAAUGACCAUUUUGCCUCUCAUCAUGUUCACAAGAGAAAAUGCUGAGAACAUUUUUGGCAUAAAAAAAUAGAUAAUAAUAUUUUAUAAAGGGAAUCCUAACGAAUUACUAACGGCAGGAGGCAAAGUGAAUAUUUUUCAUUUUAAAAGGGGGUAAAGUAUAUGUUUUUAAAUGAUAGAGAGGGAAUGUGAAAAAUCAGGUUUUGAUAAGAAAAUUUUAUGUAAUUUAGCCUUUAAAAAAUAUAUAUCUUUAGUAUACUAAAAAUAUUAUAAUUGUUACAAUUAUGUUAAAUUAAAUAGUUGUAAUUAUAACUAUUAUCUUUUCAAUUAUAUAAAUUUUUUGUUAUAUCUUCUUAACAACUAUAACCAAUAAAUGGUUUGUGGGCAGUACUGAUUUCGAGAAUGAACGGUAUAUACGUAGCGUUGCGUCAAUAAUUUGAAAGGUAUGUAGGAUGACGUGGUGCACCAGGUCCACAAUACCAUCCGUAAGGAGAGAGAGCAUCUUUUACUAACAUGUGCCUGGGGGUACAGUGCACAAAGCAUGCACGUUGCCCAGUUUGUAGUACGCAACUAAAAAAUAAAUAAAUUUUAUAAUUUAACGAAUCAGGGGACGGAUAAUUUGAAAGUUCUGUAGGAUGACGUGGUGCAAUUGACAAUGUCAUGAUAGUGUCUUUCCAUGUGAAAAAUAUUGGCUUUUAUCCUUCCAUACAACGAAGAUCGGCUACAAUAUUAGUAAUAUAUAGUACUAUCAUGGUAAUUGUAUAAUAUUCUAUUUUCAUGCUUGGCGAAGUUAUCACUCUGUGUGUAAAGACAAUGUGAGUGUGUGUUUGUGUGUGUCUAUAUAUAUUAAAUAUUAGAUUAGGGUGCAUAACAAAUAUACAAUGAACAGAGAGAGUUUUUUGUUCUUUCAUCGUAUUAGUUUCUUGUUAACUAUAUUUAUCAAAGAGAAUGGUUGGGAUUCAUUUGAGUAGAAUUGGCUAAGGAUAUUCAAGCCAAAUGGUCAUAGUAACAUAAUAAAAUUUCUUUUGUUGUGCAUGUAAUCUAAAAGAUUAACGAGAUAGUGCACAAUUCAAAAAUACUAUAAAUAAAAAACAGCAAGCUAUGGUGGGAUGGAGGUUAGAUGAAUCAUAUUACAAUGCGGACAAGCUAGGAAGGUUUCGAAAUUGAAAUGAAAAUAUAGGGAACUAUUCAAAUCCUUUUUAUGUGCUAUUAAUAUAGAUGCAUAAAAAUAUUAAAAAAGCCGAUAAAAACUAGAAAAUAUAAAAAGAAGAUAUAUGACCUUUUAAUCUUUUAGGACGACAAUUUGUUCAAAAUUAUAUUAGAUAUAUACCCCGUUAUCAUAUUCAUAACAAACAUUAGCCGGUUCAACCCCCAACCAAGGAGAGAUAAAGACUAUCUAAAUUCAAUCUUUAUUACACUAAAACCUGCGACCGUCUGAAAUACCAAAAAGUUGUCGAAACAACAUACUGACGAGAAUUUUGAUUUACUUCCCAGCCUUUCAAUUUAUUUGAUUUGAGUUAGUCAGCGGCACUUUAAUUUUAAAAUUUAAGUUAAUCACUUUAAUAAAUUUAUAGUACGUUGUGAAAAUUGUAUGAAAUAUACUAAUUAAAUAUAUAUAAAUAUAAACAAAGAGUUGAAAAUUUGAAGUCAAAGUGCCAUUAAGUGAUUAAAAUCAAACAAAUUGAAGAAUUGAUAGUAAAAUCAAAAUUUUGAAAGAUCGAAUAGUUGAAUCAAAAUGAUCCGGAGUUUAGAUAAGUUUUUUAUGUUAUAUCUAAAAAAAAUUCAAAAGCUACGGGGUGUUAAAAAGGAAAAAAGGCGGAGUUAAAGAAUCAGUUUUAAAAUGAUCUAUUGAUGUGACUUUGUGUAAUUUUAUCCUCCGUUUUCGAGAAUUGUUAUCUAUAUACUCCGCCCUUUCUAUGAGUGAAAUUAUUCCACCGCCUGUAUGAAUGUGAUUAGUAGAGAAACUUUAUCUAUAAGAUAGGUGUGUGAGCUAGUGGCAAUUCGCUUUUUUUUUUUUUUUUUUUUUUUUACUGAAGUCAGUAGUUGGCCCUACGUUAGCCAUGAAGUUGUAGAUACCGGUGCGAAGACAAUCUCAUCCCGGAAUAUUCCAUACUAAUCAACAGGACAUCAACCGUUCCUAGAGCAAGUGGCAAAGGACUUGGUGGUUGGUACCCGAGACCCAAGUUCGAAUCCUAAUUGAUUCACAUUUCUAACUAAGUUUAUUUCUAAAUAAAAUAAACGAAAUGGGUAGCGUGCUACCUAUCUCUCAAAAAAAUAAAUAAAUAAAUCAACAGGGCGACGUUGGGAUUAGGGUAGAAUAAAGUACAAAAACAGCGCCCAUUUCGCAUAGGCAUAGUAUGCAUGUGUAUAGCUUUAUACCACAAGUCUUUUAUUCUUUUGAUAGCAUAUUAUUUGGGUGCAUAUAUGCAUCCUAUCUCACUCGAUAAUAAUGUUCACAAAGUAACCGGCCGCCUUCUUCACCUCUCGUUCGGCGUGUUCCACCAUUUUGCGAACAUCCUGCAUCUCCUUGUCGACCAUCUUCUUCAUCUCUUUCACCUUCACCUCUCGUUCGAGAUGAUCGGCUGCCAGCAUCUGGCCAGCCUCCUCAGUUGGCACAGUACUGCUUCGUUCUAUCUCGACGGCACAUAAGUCAUUACACUUUUUCUUCAGGUUCUCGAGAAGCGAUACUAUGGGCUCCAGAUCAGACGACAACAGUUCUCGGCACAUCGCAUUGAUCCCAUCCUUCUGGCUUUCCAACUGGCUCUUGAGCUUGCCGUCUGUCACGCCGAGCCACCAGUCAACCACCUUCAAGGCAGUGGUGAUCAGCAGAUUUCCCGCCGCGAGGGAGGCCAGCAGCAUCGCCGUGACGGACGCAGGCCUCACCUUCGCGGCCACCAGCGCCCCCGAGUUGAUGACCGCAAGCAGUAUGGACAGCGCCUUGUCGACCUUGCUCCAAAGUCUCUUCCGUUUCUCAAUAGAUGCCAGCUCCACCUUCAGCUUAUUCUUCCUCUCCCACAAUUCCUUCAUCAGCAAAUUUUUCUCCUCGCUGAUCUCCUUCACAGCAGCGCUCAUGUUCCCAGACGGGCUCUCAUCCCCCAGCUUGGUGUUUCUGUCGUCGUCAUCGACGCAAUGCUUCACGAGUGUAAGAUAGGAUAAAGGGGAGCAGACUUUGUACCUCAAGUAGCGGACCACAAGGGCAAGGGUCGAAGGGGAGUUGGAAUACGCAGGAUUGAUGAGGUCGGAGACUGAGUGGGGAUCGGGUAGCGGCAAGCACCCUGGUGCGAGCUUCCAGAUAUCUUCGACCAACUUCGUAAGUUCGUCGCAGUGGUCGGCCGUUCCUACAGCAUUCAAGUUCUCGGUCUUGCUGAUGAUGGCACCCAUUUUUUGUACACAAGAGAUUGUAUUUUUUUUUGUACACAAGAUAUUGGAGAGAGAGAGAGAGAGAGAGAGAGAGAGAGGAAGAGAUAAUAAAUAGGGCAAAAUAUGCAUGAAGUUUGGGAACAAUGCGAAUGGGCCGUACAAAUGACCGUGACAUUUUUUCUUAAUUAUUUCUUCUAUAUUUUUUGUUUUAUUUUUGUCUGGCCAACUUUAUUUAUGUUUCAGUACAUCUAUCAUUUUUUAUAUUUAUAAUUUUAUAAUUUUUUUAAUUAAUAAUUAUUAGUUCAUAUAAAUUUGAUUUGAUGGUCACGUAACUUAAUUCAAAUAAAAUAAAAUGAUGCCAUAUGAUACGAACGGAAUGGGAACUUGGAAUCUUCGAUUUCAGUCGAGGACCAAAAUUAAGGGAGAAAAGCAUGGUGUAUAGCGCCCUGGCAACUUGCCAGUGGCCAUCAUUGACCAAGCCGCAAUGCAAUGCAACGCAAGCGCCGAAGUUGCAUAGAAUUAAGUUUCACUUCUUUUGAUGGAUUGUAAUCACCAGAAAUGAUAUUAUUAGAUAGUUUAUUAAUUGUAAUCACCAAUUUUUCCAAUAAUAGUUUGUUUCCUAGCAGGAUUAAUUAGUUUUUAUUGUAUUCACAAAUUUUUAGUUCAUUUCCCAACAAAAUUAAUUCAAGCACUACCUUAUUUCUUUUUUUUGAGAAAUAAACACUAUCUUAAUUCAAGCACGGUUGUCAGACAAAUAGAAUAUCUCUAGUAAAAUAGUUCUUUUUUUUUAGACAAAGGUAGCGCGCUACCCGCUUCAUUCAUUUAGUAAGUGAAUUAAGUUACAUGGAUGAGACAGCAAGAUCUCGACGGAAGACGAAAAAAAAAGAAAAGAAAAAAAGUACGGUCACUCUACUGGACUAAGUUUCCUCCACAAGUCUGUCAACUGCUUAAUCUUAUAAAUACCGACUGAUGGGUCACUCUGUGUCGUUCCGAAAAUCGCUCUAUUCCUAGAGUCCCAAGAGACCCACCAGCAGGCUAUAAUUCCUAUAAGACCGAUUGCGGUCGGUUGUGUUCUCGUUCUUCCCAUCCAUAUAUCUAUUCCAGACUUGACACACUUCCUUACCCAGAUCUCCUAAUUGGAUAUUUUCCUGGAUUGUUACCAUAAGGAAUCUGGUAAUUAUGCACUGUAUGAAAUAGUUCAUUUUAUUUUACAUCGCUGCAGAGAAAUAAAACUCUAAACGAAAGAGCACAAAUUUAAUUCGAGCAUAGUUGUCGGACAAAUAUAGUGGGAAGGAGGAUUUAAAUAGCCCUACCAGCUGGAUAAAUAUUUUAAAACUGAAAUCUAACACACUUGAUCAACUUUAAUACAUUUUAAAUGACUAUAUAUUAUAAAUUAUAAAUUUUUUAUAGACUAACUAAUAAUUUUUUAAAAUUAAAUAUUAACGCUAUUUGAGAUCUUAAUAAUAGAUUUUAAAAUUUUGUAGUUUUUUUUUGCAUAGUUUUUUUUAAUCUGAUCAUAUAUUAUUAUCUGAAUCCUCAGUUCACUUCCUAUGUGGCAGGUUCAUGUUGUUUUGGCGGCGGGGGCGGCUCAGGUGGGCAUUUUUUUUUAAUCUGAUCAUAUAUUAUGAAUCGUAUAUUUCUGAAUGAAAUAAACGAAGUGGGUAAUAUGCUACCUAUCUCUCGAAAAAAAAAAAAAAAAAAAUUUUCAACCCGUCUUGCCUCAUGAACACUAGAUAUUAAUGCGCGCAACACGAAUAAUUAACCCCAUGGCUCAAUAUGGCUAAAUAUCUGUUUAGGACUCAAUAUGGCUAUCUGUUUAACAUUGUUAUAUGUUGCUACCUGUUUAGGUGGAUACAAUUCAACAUGUGAUAAUGAUAAACACUCAAUCGAAAUUCAACAUGUGAUAAUGACAGACAGUCAACAAAAAUUAUCUUCGUUGCUAAAAGAAAAAUAAAAAAUAAAUAAAUAAAUAAAUAAAUAAAAUUCAUAUCUUAGGCGCAGUUUGGUUCAAGGGAUAGGAAGGAUUCCUGGUCAAAUUCAACAUGUGAUAAUGAUAAACCGUCAACAAAAAUUAUUUUCGUUGCUAAAAAAAAAAUAAUAAUAAAAAAAAAAUCAUACCUUAGGCGCAGUUUGGUUCAAGGGAUAGGAAGGAUUUCUGGUCAAACCUUACUAUUCCCGAUUAUUCCGGAACAGGAAGGAAUUUUUUAUUCUACCAUUUUGGUGAAAUAGUAUAAUGCUUAAUUUCAAACUUAAUUAAAAUUAUAAAUUAAUUUAAAACUAAAUUAUAUAAAUAUAAUAUAUUAUAUAUUUUAAUACAUUAUUUUUAUUAUAAAAUUAUUAAUUAUACUAUAUUAGUACAUAUUAUUUAUAUUUAAAUAUUAUAAUAAAUUUUAUAAUAAAUUACAUUUAAAUAUUAUAAUCAAUUUUUAGGAAUAACUUAAUUUUUAUCCAAACGCAAAAUUGAUCUAAUCCCCUCUUAUACAUUAAUUUAUACAUAUCCCUGUAAUAACUAUUUUUUAAUUAUUCCCGAACCAAGCGAUUAGGGCUGGCAAAUGAGCGAGCCGGCUCGCGUUCGACUCAAUAUUUGGCUCGCUCGAGCUCGACUUGAAAUUAAAUAAGCCGAGCUUGAACAAAAAAAAAGGCCGAAAUUCAUUUCAAGCCAAGCUUGAGUAUUACUCGGCUCGUUCGAAUUAGGCUCGAAAAGCUCGAAAAGCUCAAAUAUAUAUAUAUAUAUAUAUAUAGAGAGAGAGAGAGAGAGAGAGAGAGAGAGAGAGAGAGAGAGAGAGAGAAUUAUGCUGCUAUACUAUAAAUAGUAUCAUGUCAUUGGUACUAUUGAGUUUUUGGUCGUUGGAUUAAAAGAUGCAUGGUUAGGAUGAUAGUUGUCCUCUAAGAUUGAGUGGGUGGUUUGUUUAAUAGUAUAAUCUAACAGGUGGAAAUGAUCAAAGGGUAAAUCUAACGGUAGAAAACUCAAUAGUACCAAGAACUUGGUACUAUCGACAGUAUAGUAGUCAGACUCACUCUCUAUCACUCUAUCACUCUCUCUCUCUCUCUCUCUCUCUCUAUAUAUAUAUAUAUUAAAAAAUAUAUAAAUAUAAUAUAUUUAUAAUUAUAUAUAAGCUGAGUGAAUAACCUGAGUUUAGUUAAAAUUGGGUCAAUGUUGUUAGCCAAUAAAAACAAACCCAAUAGACAAAUAAAAGAGCAAAAUUUCAUUAAAUUUAUAUAUUUUUCCUUUUUUUCUUUCUUUCACAGAACUUUAAAAUUUCAAUAUGUUUCUCUCUUUCUUUUUUUCUGUCUCUCACUCUAAAUAGCCAAGUCGGAAACCCUCCAAGUCACCAAAUAACAGUAUAUGCCCGCCGUUGCCUACCUUGCUAUUAAUUGUAUGCUUGAGAAAAUAUACAGAAUAUUUUUAAAGUAAAAAGUUAUUAUUUAUAUAAAAUUUUAAUUUUAGUUAUAUAUGAUUGGAUAGUUUAAUCCAAUAUUUAUCUAUAUAAUUUAUUUAUUUUUGACUGCAUAAAUAAAAAUAAAUAAUAUGGAGAUUGAAGGCGGAAGAGAAGACAUAUGAGUCUGAAAAGAUUAAGUAUUCAACUUAUAAAUUAUUUUCCUUCAUAUUAUAAUACUAUAUUUUAUGAAAUUAUUUUGUACUUUGAACUAUUAGACAUAUUUUUGUAUCAAAUUAUAGAUAAUAUUCUAUACAAAUUAAACUAUUGAUCGUAUGAUGCUGAGAAUUUCAAGUGGCUCAUUUAGGGCUCGAGCUCGCUCGACUCGAAAUUAGGCUCGCUCGAGCUCGACUCGAAUUAAUUUCAAUCCAAAGCUUCAGUUUAAAUUUAGACUCGAAAUUAAUUUCAAGCCGAAUUUGAG
This 38059-nucleotide long non-coding RNA is filed under the name Ananas comosus (pineapple). Its description in RNAcentral is "long non-coding RNA (ACOM_LNC027338)". Lineage: Eukaryota; Viridiplantae; Streptophyta; Magnoliopsida; Poales; Bromeliaceae. The record is from RNAcentral.